GAUCAAUGGUGUAAUGAUUCUGCCCAAUGAGAUAGAAUGAUAUCAUUUGUAAAACUAUUCCAUUUUGAUUCUGAGGUU
Otolemur garnettii (small-eared galago) is the source of this 78-nucleotide small nucleolar RNA. The record is from Ensembl. Lineage: Eukaryota; Metazoa; Chordata; Mammalia; Primates; Galagidae.